Molecule: long non-coding RNA, 602 nt
Organism: Brassica napus (rape)
Lineage: Eukaryota; Viridiplantae; Streptophyta; Magnoliopsida; Brassicales; Brassicaceae
Exons: 2
Source: RefSeq, a predicted model, not a curated record
AUCCCUUAUAUUAUGAGUAUUUAUAAUUUUUUUUAUAUUAUGAAUAUUUAAAAAAAAAAUCAAUAACUAUUGGAGAUGAAAAUUUAUUUAUGAUAAACUUGAAAGAUUACCAAAAACUAUUUUCAAAAGUCAAAUAUAUACAGUCAAACAUUCUAAAUAUAUAGUCAAACAUUCUAAACAUAAUUGUAUUUCUAAAAUGGACCAUUUUGUAAUUCUAUAAAGCUCUUUUCCAGUGGCCUCAGGUUUUUCAAGUCUAUUAUUAUUCAAAGUAAAAAACAACCAAUGGCUAAAACAGCUUUUUCACUUGUUCUCCCAAUCAUAUUCAUUGUCAUGUUUUGCUUAGUUGAUGAAAAUAUGGGAUGCGGUCAAUAUAUCGGUCCCUGCCCUGUUCGUGGAACAUGUGAUCAAGUAUGCAAAGCUCAAUUUGGACCAAAGGCAGAUGGCAUAUGUGACUUCACGGGUACUAAACGAUGUGCUUGCAAAUAUCCUUGUAUGACUGAUAAGACUCGGAUUUGAUUUCUAUUCUGAUUUGAAAUCCUCACUUCAUUCAAAAUGUAAGAAAAUAUCCUCAUUAAUAAAAAACGAAAAAAAUGCAACUGUUA